This 253-nucleotide ribosomal RNA is filed under the name uncultured bacterium. Its description in RNAcentral is "partial 16S ribosomal RNA". It matches the Rfam family "Bacterial small subunit ribosomal RNA", at positions 524 to 776 of the family's 1533-position model. The record is from RNAcentral.
UACGUAGGGGGCGAGCGUUGCCCGAAUUUACGGGGCGUAAAGCGCACGUAGGCGGCUCCGUAAGGCUGGUGUGAAAUCUCACGGCUCAACCGGGAGGCUGCACCAGAUACUGCGGGGCUCGAGGACGGGAGAGGAGAUUGGAAUUCCCGGUGUAGCGGUGAAAUGCAUUGAUAUCGGGAGGAACACCAGUGGCGAAGGCGGAUCUCCGGCCCGUUGUUGACGCUGAGGUGCGAAAGCUGGGGGAGCGAAAGGG